This 1080-nucleotide long non-coding RNA is filed under the name Oryctolagus cuniculus (rabbit). RNAcentral describes it as "lncRNA (ENSOCUG00000036836.1)". Lineage: Eukaryota; Metazoa; Chordata; Mammalia; Lagomorpha; Leporidae. The record is from RNAcentral.
AAUCAACUAUAGCUUUGCCAGUGCCUACCAUGAUCACAUAAGCAAUGUCAUAAUUUAAAAUAAUCAUGGCUGGCCCCAGGUCCUGAAACACAACUACUCAAAUAAAAUUUGGGUUCUGAUUUUGCAAGAAAGAAAUAUCUGAGUCAUUCUUAGGCAGUCAACAUGAUUUGCCACAGUUGGGUGAGUUUCUUCCAGAAAAGUAGCAAUAAAGCAUAGUCAUUUGUUCCCUACAGGUGAGACUCUUUCAUGAUAACAAGAGUUGCCAUAAUUAUCUGGCUUCUGUCAGAGAAAAGAAAUUUCCAGGUGAAUCACUGGGCAAAGGCUCAUGCCCAUUGAAGGAACCAAGCCUUGUUGACAUCAUUUCUCAGAGGCUGUUUGAAGAGUUCUGGAAAGGAUUUGAAAACCAGGCAUACAAACCCGGACCAUCUAAUUGCCAAUGAAGAAGAAUGAAUUACUCUGCAAUUAUAUUAAAGGUGAAAGAGGUCCCAGGGCACAAUUUGAACAGAAACUGUACUGACAUGGGAUAAAAGCUUGAUUGGUGACAGCCCUGACUAUUAAGAUAUUGAACCUGAGUUCAAAGGGAGGACAAGAGUAACUUUAUGUUUGACAACCUUUAGACAAGGUUAGUGCCCUUGACUAAGUAAAUGCCAACUUAUCCAGAUAAAACAUUCCAUUUCACAGAUCCCUUCUUCAUCCAUCAAUAGGGGCAAAAAUGCUCUCAGAUUUACUUAUCAGAAUAGUCACCUGCACUUGUCCUUAAGUUUCACAUUCAAGUCAUUAUUUUGGCCACUGUCCAGUGACAGAUAAAUUUAUGGCAGAGCAGAUAGAUGGACCCACUCUUCCGGAGUUGUAGGUGGUUGGCCACCUUCUGGAAUUCAUUAACAACAAAGGUUGAUAUGGCCUGAAAAUAGAGGUAGAUUGCAAGCAGGUUUUGAUAAUUCUUGGAUGACAGAUCAUAAUAGGUUAGUAUGAAAAAAGAGGCUCAAUCAUUACCCACUGAACCUCUAUUAGGGUUGUCACAUAAAAUACAGAACACUCUAUUAAACUGGAGUUUCAAAUAAAUAUGAAUAAUAUUUUAGA